AAGUCGUAACAAGGUUCCUGUAGGUGAACCUGCAGAAGGAUCAUUAUUAAAAGAACUAGAGUGCACUUAAUUGUGGCUCGACCCCUUUUAAACCCACCCCAAACUUUCAAAGACUCUUUUGCAUGGUUUGUAACAAAUCAUUGCACCUGAGUAAAAGUAACAUUCUUGAUUGAAUGUUACAUUACCCACCCCCUUUUAUUUUUCCAAAACUUUUUUUUUACACAUACACACAAGUUUAAAAGAAUGUAAACAACCACCUUUAAUUAUAAAAUAACUUUUAACAAUGGAUCUCUAGGCUCUCACAUCGAUGAAGAACACAGUGAAAUGUGAUAAGUAAUGUGAAUUGCAGAAUUCAGUGAAUCAUCGAAUCUUUGAACGCAUCUUGCGCCUUUUGGUAUUCCAAAAGGCACACCUGUUUGAGUGUCAUGAAACCCUCUCACAAAAUAAAUAAUUUUUAUUAUGAUUUUUGUGGAUGUUGAGUGCUGCUGUGUUACACAUAGCUCACUUUAAAUGUAUAAGUCAUCUUCUUUAUAUAGCAAAAAAGAAGAGAUGGAUUGACUUGAUGUGUAAUAAUUUUUUUUUCAUCACAUUGAGGAAAGUAGCAAUACUUGCCAUCUUUAUAUUAUUUUGUUGUUGAGAUAGAGACUACUAAACAAACAAUUUAAAAUUUAAGACCUCAAAUCAGGUGGGACUACCCGCUGAACUUAAGCAUA
RNAcentral lists this ribosomal RNA (713 nucleotides) under uncultured fungus. Its description in RNAcentral is "eukaryotic LSU rRNA". The stretch from base 273 to 426 matches the Rfam family "5.8S ribosomal RNA". Lineage: Eukaryota; Fungi. The record is from RNAcentral.